UACGGAGGAUGCGAGCGUUAUCCGGAUUUAUUGGGUUUAAAGGGUGCGUAGGCGGAUUAAUAAGUCAGUGGUGAAAACCUGCAGCUUAACUGUAGAAUUGCCAUUGAUACUGUUAGUCUUGAGUACGGUCAAGGUAGGCGGAAUGUGUAAUGUAGCGGUGAAAUGCUUAGAUAUUACACAGAACACCGAUUGCGAAGGCAGCUUACUGGGCCAUUACUGACGCUGAUGCACGAAAGCGUGGGGAGCGAACAGG
This 253-nucleotide ribosomal RNA is filed under the name uncultured bacterium. Its description in RNAcentral is "partial 16S ribosomal RNA". It matches the Rfam family "Bacterial small subunit ribosomal RNA", at positions 524 to 776 of the family's 1533-position model. The record is from RNAcentral. RNAcentral also lists the same sequence under 1 other name.